Molecule: ribosomal RNA, 235 nt
Filed under: uncultured bacterium
Lineage: Bacteria
Description: partial 16S ribosomal RNA
Rfam family: Bacterial small subunit ribosomal RNA
Source: RNAcentral
UGGCGGACGGGUGAGUAAUGUCUGGGAAACUGCCCGAUGGAGGGGGAUAACUACUGGAAACGGUAGCUAAUACCGCAUAACGUCGCAAGACCAAAGAGGGGGACCUUAGGGCCUCUUGCCAUCGGAUGUGCCCAGAUGGGAUUAGCUAGUAGGUGGGGUAAAGGCUCACCUAGGCGACGAUCCCUAGCUGGUCUGAGAGGACGACCAGCCACACUGGAACUGAGACACGGUCCAG